RNAcentral lists this transfer RNA (69 nucleotides) under Trichonotus filamentosus. Its description in RNAcentral is "tRNA-Phe". It matches the Rfam family "tRNA". Rfam says of the family: Transfer RNA (tRNA) molecules are approximately 80 nucleotides in length. Lineage: Eukaryota; Metazoa; Chordata; Actinopteri; Gobiiformes; Trichonotidae. The record is from RNAcentral.
GUCGGAGUAGCUUAAUUAAAGCAUGACACUGAAGAUGUUAAGACGGGCUUUAAUUCGGCCCCUUCGACA